RNAcentral lists this ribosomal RNA (605 nucleotides) under uncultured bacterium. RNAcentral describes it as "bacterial SSU rRNA". It matches the Rfam family "Bacterial small subunit ribosomal RNA", at positions 888 to 1498 of the family's 1533-position model. The record is from RNAcentral.
GCAAGAUUAAAACUCAAAGGAAUAGACGGGGACCCGCACAAGUGGUGGAGCAAGUGGUUUAAUUCGAAGAUACGCGAAGAACCUUACCUAGCCUUGACAUUGAUAGAAUCCCGCAGAGAUGUAGGAGUGCCCUUCGGGGAGCUUGAAAACAGGUGCUGCACGGCUGUCGUCAGCUCGUGUCGUGAGAUGUUGGGUUAAGUCCCGCAACGAGCGCAACCCUCGUGAUUAGUUACUAACGGUUCGGCCGAGGACUCUAAUCAGACUGCCUCCGCAAGGAGGAGGAAGGUGAGGACGACGUCAAGUCAUCAUGGCCCUUACGGCUAGGGCAACACACGUGCUACAAUGGUUAGGACAGUGAGAUGCGAUACCGCGAGGUGGAGCAAAUCUAUAAACCUAAUCUCAGUUCGGAUAGCAGUCUGCAACUCGACUGCUUGAAGCUGGAAUCACUAGUAAUCGUAGAUCAGCUAUGCUACGGUGAAUACGUUCCCGGGUCUUGUACUCACCGCCCGUCACACCAUGGGAGUUGGUAUCACCCGAAGCGGGGAAGCUAAACUGGCUACCCUCCACGGUGGUAUUAGCGACUGGGGUGAAGUCGUAACAAGGUA